Molecule: ribosomal RNA, 927 nt
Filed under: Cookeina sulcipes
Lineage: Eukaryota; Fungi; Ascomycota; Pezizomycetes; Pezizales; Sarcoscyphaceae
Description: partial large subunit ribosomal RNA
Rfam family: Eukaryotic large subunit ribosomal RNA
Source: RNAcentral
ACUUAAGCAUAUCAAUAAGCGGAGGAAAAGAAACCAACAGGGAUUGCCUCAGUAACUGCGAGUGAAGCGGCAAAAGCUCAGAUUUGAAAUCUGUCGCCUCCGGCGGCCGAGUUGUAAUCUGGAGAGGCAUCUUCUGGCGGGCGGCCGGUCCAAGUUCCUUGGAACAGGACGUCGGAGAGGGUGAGAAUCCCGUAUCUGGCCGGUCCGACCCGUCGUGUGAAGUGUCUUCGACGAGUCGAGUUGUUUGGGAAUGCAGCUCAAAAUGGGUGGUAAACUCCAUCUAAAGCUAAAUAUUGGCGGGAGACCGAUAGCGCACAAGUAGAGUGAUCGAAAGAUGAAAAGCACUUUGAAAAGAGAGUCAAAAAGUACGUGAAAUUGUUGAAAGGGAAGCGCUCGAGACCAGACUCGGGUUUUGGUGAUCAGCCGCGGUUCUCCGCGGUGCACUCGCCUCUGCCCGGGCCAGCAUCGGUUUCGGCGGCGGGAUAAAGGUCGGGGCAACGUGGCUCCCCCUCGGGGGAGUGUUUAUAGGCCCCGGCGUCAUGCCGCCAGCCGGGACCGAGGACCGCGCUUCGGCUAGGAUGCUGGCGUAAUGGUCUUCAGCGACCCGUCUUGAAACACGGACCAAGGAGUCUAACAUCUAUGCGAGUGUUCGGGUGCCAAACCCCUGCGCGUAAUGAAAGUGAACGGAGGUGGGAACCCCUCUUGCGGGGGGCGCACCAUCGACCGAUCCUGAUGUCUUCGGAUGGAUUUGAGUAGGAGCAUAGCUGUUGGGACCCGAAAGAUGGUGAACUAUGCCUGAAUAGGGUGAAGCCAGAGGAAACUCUGGUGGAGGCUCGCAGCGGUUCUGACGUGCAAAUCGAUCGUCAAAUUUGGGUAUAGGGGCGAAAGACUAAUCGAACCAUCUAGUAGCUGGUUCCUGCCGAAGUU